This 426-nucleotide ribosomal RNA is filed under the name Flavobacteriales bacterium. RNAcentral's name for it is "bacterial SSU rRNA". It matches the Rfam family "Bacterial small subunit ribosomal RNA", at positions 1 to 422 of the family's 1533-position model. The record is from RNAcentral. Lineage: Bacteria; Pseudomonadati; Bacteroidota; Flavobacteriia; Flavobacteriales.
ACAAUGGAGAGUUUGAUCCUGGCUCAGGAUGAACGCUAGCGGCAGGCUUAACACAUGCAAGUCGAGGGGCAGCACGAUGUAGCAAUACAUGGGUGGCGACCGGCGCACGGGUGCGUAACACGUAUGGAAUCUGCCCUGUACUGGGGAAUAGCCCUCCGAAAGGAGGAUUAAUACCCCGUAAUAGCUUGAGUGGCAUCACUCGGGUUUGAAAGCUCCGGCGGUACAGGAUGACCAUGCGCACGAUUAGCUAGUAGGUGAGGUAACGGCUCACCUAGGCUACGAUCGUUAGGGGGCCUGAGAGGGUUAUCCCCCACACUGGUACUGAGACACGGACCAGACUCCUACGGGAGGCAGCAGUGAGGAAUAUUGCGCAAUGGAGGAAACUCUGACGCAGCCAUGCCGCGUGCAGGAAGACGGCCCUACGGG